CUCAGAAAAUCUUACACUGAAGGCAACAGCAACUUUACACAGCUAAGGACUGAGUGAAUGAGAUUUUCAAGCUGGAGACUGGGAUAAGUAAUAAAGGUUCCUCUCACACAACUUCUGAGAAAUAGAGCCAAAACCGAGAUGCCAAACUGCUGGUGUGAUACAGUGUGCUUGGGAGGCACCAGCCAGCCUUGGAGCAUGAGGGUGAAGCUGACAGGACCAGUGGGGUCUUGAUUGCAGGCUCGUGACCGUGCCCUUACAGCACAAGAGCUGCAGCAGUGACAGUCCAAGGAUAACAGAGGUAAUAUUUUUUAUUAGACUGACUAAUACAAUUGAAAAAAGUGGAUAAACAUUUGGGUUUAAGAUAAGGGGAUUCUGAGCCCAAAACUUUGCCUGAGUUUACUGGUAAGAUCAGGUCAAGAUCUUACGGGCCCCCAAAGGUCUGUAAGACUUGACGAGAUCUUAUCAGGAGCCUAACAGACUCCUAAAACAUAGUCUGCUAAGCUCAGUAAGCCCAUCAGUAAUGCAAGGUUUCAAGUGGGAUCCAAAAAGGCACUUUAAUACCUGAAGCAGGACUUGGACAGGUCAGAGGUACCUCAGCAAAAACCUGUGAUCCAAGAGAUUCCACUCAGGUGGUAUUGAGGGCUGGGGGUGCUCACCUUUGAAUUUUAAUUUUCACUGAGGAACUUGAAGUUCCUUGUGUAACAAACCCUCCCACCCUGUAACUGAGAAGCUGGUGCACUUUGGGAGGUGGGAAGAUGUAGAGUGGAAACCUUUAAAGCCUGCAUUAUAAAUGGAGCAAAAUGAACCCUACUCAGUUCAGAUGGCAGGUGCCUCUCCUCAAGACACUAACCUGGGAUAUGCCUCUGCUCUGAAAAAAUUGGGAGUUUGCACCAACCUGUGUGUUCAGCAUUGGUUACCAUGAGACAGCCACCCCCUUGAAACGAUGCAAUGGUGCAGAGGAAGAUGUAAGUGCAUGGUGCCAGCUCCUCAAUGCUGCUGUAAGGUUCAGGUGCUACUUUCUAAGUGUAGAAGUCUUCAGUUUGUCCUGUUUUUAGCCAGGAACCACAAUCCGCAGGCAAAAUCAGGGAGAAAAGAGAACUGAAAAAAAAGCUGAGUGUAUCCUCUUUGAGAAGCGUUUUACUAAUUAUGGACCUAUUCCAGGAGAUUUCCUACAGAUUUGCUGUGACUUCAGUGUUAUUAACCUAUUUUUCUCCUUUGGAGCUCUGCUCCUUCAUCCUUAAAUUAGCUUGUGACCUAACAAAGCGUUUAAGCAUGUGCAACUUUAUCCAUGGAAGGGUUUCCACUGACUUCAGCAGAACCACUCGGGUGUUGGAGGCAGCGUUGUUGCCUCAGUGAUCUGCUGGAGCCGCCUUACACACCGGGGACAGUGUCAUACAUAAUACUUAGAUUGAAUGGGAGGGGAAGAGGGAGCAUUUCUAACAUGAUUACAGUCAGAUUUCCUUUUAUGUUCUGCAGAGGAAAAUAGUAUGCAAAUACUCCACGUGCCUACAUGGAUUCAAAAUUCCUUUCCUCUUUUUUUGAUCUCCCUAAUUCUGACAAACAAGUUGCCCACGGUUUCUGAAGAGAAACUCUCCCCGAGGCGUUGGGCCACGGGCAUUUUUUGAGGGGUACAGUGGGUCUAGACAGACCCCCGUUUGCCUGGUUCUGGCUACACUUUCCCACUCCAGCACUCUUCCUCCAGUUGCACCUCAGUGGAGAUGAGGUGAAUUGCGUCUGGGAACUAAGCCAGGAUAAAAAUAACUGAGGUGGGGAGGGUGCUAUUUUUUUAAGCAGUUUCCUGGUCUGUUUGUCAACAUAACGGCACAAAAAGCUGCACCAGCACAGCAGAGGGAGAAUAACCGUCUGGUCCAUCAAAGUGCUGCCACCAAAAACGGUGUCCGCAAAACGCAGCCAUAUCUCCUUGGCGUUGCUGCACCAGCAAGGUGCAAAGUCCUUUGGGAAGUCCAUAGUGUCCUGUUCCCAGCUCCAGCUUGUGCUGUGUGUUCCUGUCUCUGUGCUGGAUCCUGCUGCCCCCUCUGCCGUGCUGACAUACCUCUUUGUGUGUCCACAUCUCAGUCAAAUCCUGGGAGCAAUCUAGAUUGAGCCAAAGUAUUCUUCUUCUGGGCUAACUUUCAUCUGGUUCCCAGCUCCAGCUCCAGCACACACACCGUGCCAGCCUGGCAUGGGGAUUGCACACAAGGGAAAGAGGAGGGUCACCAGGCCAAACUUGUUCAGGCAGAUUGCAGAGCAGACAUAACUUGGAGUAUCCAAACAAAAUUAGUUUAUACAGCCCUCACUACCCAUCAGAGUUAACACUUUAUCCAGCUUGGGUGUUACCAAACAAGUUAUGUUUCUUUAAAAAGGAGCCUGUGCAGCAGUGGGGUAAAAUGUUAGGACUUAAUCAACAACAGAGGAGAUUUAAUCCAUGAAAUAGAUAGCAGCUAACAAGCAAGCUCUAAGCUCUAAGCUUUCUAACACAUGUCUAUGUGUUAGAAAAAAACAAAUUAAAGUUUAGGGCUCUCAGACCUGGGGGAGGAAGUAUGGCUUGGGAUGUACCAUUGAUAAUGAACACGAAAGAAUGCAGAAUUUAUGGCCAACCAGGACAUUUGGCAGGACUUUCAAGACAAGGAAGAAACUAAUAAAACCCACUCAGUAAUUGUGCUGAAAUCAGCUCCAAGUGGGUAAAAGGUAAUUUUGGUAGGGGGAUCCACGACCACCGACUCAAGAAAUCCCCCUGACCCAAAAGAAGAGAGAAACUGAGCAUGUGGACUAAUUAGCAUGUGGACUAAUUAGCAUGAGAAGCAAGAGAAUCAUUAACCAAUAGAAGACUAAUUAAUAAGAGAGCUAUGUAACUUGUAACCAAUGAACACUAAUUCCUUUGUUUACCAAAAUGUAUUAAUAGUCAAAAGUUUUGAUAACUGAUGUACAUAUUUUGUGGAGUGAUCCUCCUGUACCUCAGUGUUGAAUAAAG
This is a long non-coding RNA of Neopelma chrysocephalum (saffron-crested tyrant-manakin), 2971 nucleotides long. RefSeq lists it as uncharacterized. The transcript has 3 exons. The record is from RefSeq and is a predicted model, not a curated record. Lineage: Eukaryota; Metazoa; Chordata; Aves; Passeriformes; Pipridae.